RNAcentral lists this long non-coding RNA (1545 nucleotides) under Nothobranchius furzeri (turquoise killifish). RNAcentral describes it as "lncRNA (ENSNFUG00015000244.1)". Lineage: Eukaryota; Metazoa; Chordata; Actinopteri; Cyprinodontiformes; Nothobranchiidae. The record is from RNAcentral.
CUCAUGCAACCUUUUAUUUCUCACAUUCAGCAGCUGUUCGGUGAUCGAAAUCGUGUUUAUGAACCUCUCAGUUCAAACCCAGAGAACAAAUGUCUCACCACUGAAAUCAAAAGGAACGAGGAGACAAACGGCCCAAGGUCUAAGAGCUCUGGCCACCAGGGGGCGCUUCAGUGUUUCUGCUCUAAACUGGACCCUGAAGCAGAGUGACACAGGUGUUCAUGAUGAGCAGGUGGGAUGGCGGUGAUGAGGGCGGGGCGCUCCCAGGGUAAAAAUGCCUUUAUUACUUUAGUUUAACAGUGUCACGGUCUGAGGUGUGUUCCUGCUGUCACUCCCUGUCUCUGAGUUCUCCCUCUGCAGGUGGGCGUGUCUGGAGGUUGACCAAGCUGCAGCAGAUCAGCCGCCAGGUGUAUUUAAGCAGCUGAGAGACUUCUACACGUCGCUGGAUGAUUACUCUACCUGGGUACCUUCUAAGCCACCUCUUCGUAUUAUAGUCGAGCUCUUUGGACCUUUUGAGAUUUUAGAUGUGUUUUGGAUUUUGCAUUUACCCUUCCUGCUCUCGUUCACCUGGAUCAAACCUCCACCUUCAUCUCCGACUGGCUGAACUCUGGAACUCCAACCUGCUUGUCUCUCAGCCGCUCCCUGGCCAGAACCACCUCCAGCUGCCCACCUAAGCUCCCUGGAUCUUCACAAACUCGGCUCCCUCCACGUCUCACCUUUUGGAUCUCAGUCCCAGGAAAACCCUCUCAGCCCAGACCCGACCACUCCUCCCUCGAGCUAGUUCCCUCCUCUCCAGACCAUUUCCCGCACCGGCUCCCUUGUGAAAGAACUCAGCUAUGUUCAGCUGCUUCCUUGGUUUCCCUUUUAAUAAAUUCUUAUUUAAACACUUUACCCUGUCUCUAUGCUGAUUCUGUAUGUCGUGGGUUAGAUUUCUACAAAUCAUGACAAAUGGCUUUCUUCAUGUUUCCUGAGGUUAUUUCGGUGACUGUAUUUCCUUAAGUGCCAACAUUACAUUACGCUGCUCUAUAUUUUUAUUUUAUAUAACAUAGUUUUGUUUUAUAACAUGUAUCAUCUUAGAUGAACUGCUGAAGAUGGGCAUCGGCCCCCGCGUGGAUGAGCGUGUAUAGACAUUAGAUAUUGUGAUUUAUGAACAAGAGCAAUUAUUAUGCUCAUACUGACCCGAUGUUUUUAAAAUCACAGAUUAUGAAAUUAGAAGAUUAUUUUAUUAUAAAAUAAUGCAAUUUAUGUUUGGAGUAAAAUUAACAGCUCUGCCAAAAAAUAUACUAAUGUUCUUUGUAAAGAGGGAAAGUAAAUAUGAUUUAAGAGGUGUAUGUUUGUUCUACAAAAAGCCAAAAAGGGCAUGAAAAGGAGAUGUAUCUCUGUAAUGGGAGUAAAAUUUUGGAAUGAGGCUAAAAUAGAAUUAAAAUUAGCAACUUCUCUUUCAGUUCUUAAAAAACUUAUCAGUAAAAACAUUUUUGAAGAGUAUUAAUUUGAUGUUGAUGGAUGGAUUUGUGUUUUACUUUUAUUUGGGUUGUUGGUUCAUUGCGG